GUGGGGAAUAUUGGACAAUGGGCGCAAGCCUGAUCCAGCCAUACCGCGUGGGUGAAGAAGGCCUUCGGGUUGUAAAGCCCUUUUGUUGGGAAAGAAAUCCUGUCGAUUAAUACUCGGUGGGGAUGACGGUACCCAAAGAAUAAGCACCGGCUAACUUCGUGCCAGCAGCCGCGGUAAUACGAAGGGUGCAAGCGUUACUCGGAAUUACUGGGCGUAAAGCGUGCGUAGGUGGUGGUUUAAGUCUGCUGUGAAAGCCCUGGGCUCAACCUGGGAAGUGCAGUGGAUACUGGAUCACUAGAGUGUGGUAGAGGGAUGCGGAAUUUCUGGUGUAGCAGUGAAAUGCGUAGAGAUCAGAAGGAACAUCCGUGGCGAAGGCGGCAUCCUGGGCCAACACUGACACUGAGGCACGAAAGCGUGGGGAGCAAACAGGAUUAGAAACCCGGGUAGUCC
Molecule: ribosomal RNA, 450 nt
Filed under: uncultured bacterium
Lineage: Bacteria
Description: partial 16S ribosomal RNA
Rfam family: Bacterial small subunit ribosomal RNA
Source: RNAcentral